Molecule: non-coding RNA, 131 nt
Organism: Dehalogenimonas lykanthroporepellens BL-DC-9
Lineage: Bacteria; Bacillati; Chloroflexota; Dehalococcoidia; Dehalococcoidales; Dehalococcoidaceae
Source: Rfam
GGUUAACAAGUUAAUAUUCCGAAGACAGCCGGUGUCCCUCACGGGACUUAAUUGAUGCCUGCCGAGGAAAUCUGAGACCGAUACACGGUUAAUGAAGUCCUUGCGCAUGCGGGGACUUUUUUAUUAUAGAA